This is a long non-coding RNA of Rosa chinensis, 409 nucleotides long. RefSeq lists it as uncharacterized. The record is from RefSeq and is a predicted model, not a curated record. The transcript has 3 exons. NCBI's taxonomy places the organism in Eukaryota, Viridiplantae, Streptophyta, Magnoliopsida, Rosales, Rosaceae.
CGGGAUCUCACACUUGGUCUCUGCUGUGGUUGUUCGUGUCGCUUAGAUAGUGAGGGAGGUUGUUGAUCAACAUAGGCAAGUCUCAAUUACUGUUUGUUUCUAGCUUGGCGGCAUAUAAGUGAUUGAUUGGAAAGGUUAGAAGGUCAUCGGUGCUUUGCUUUUGUUCUUUUUCUCCUGUUGCCUGUGACUCUGUGUCUCUUCUCUAGUUGUUUGCUUUUGAUUCCUCAUCAACAAGGUAAUUAGGAAUAAAUUCGGCGAGUAAGACCUUUGCUUCAAUUUUAAGGCUUGGAAUAGGUCUGUGAUUUUUUGCUUUAUUUAUAUUAAUUUAAGAUUCUUAAAAGAACAAAAUUUCAGUUUGUAAUUUUGCAGCUGUUAUUGCAAUUUGAGUUUUGGCACAUCUAUUCUUCUG